RNAcentral lists this non-coding RNA (84 nucleotides) under Dorea formicigenerans. RNAcentral describes it as "ZTP sequence". It matches the Rfam family "ZMP/ZTP riboswitch aptamer (pfl RNA motif)". Rfam says of the family: Previously known as pfl RNA. ZMP is also known as AICAR. Lineage: Bacteria; Bacillati; Bacillota; Clostridia; Lachnospirales; Lachnospiraceae. RNAcentral also lists the same sequence under 1 other name. The record is from RNAcentral.
AAGCAUUCUGAUGACUGACGGAUAAUUGUGGAGUACCACAGAGGAAUCAGAAGUCGUAUUAAGCCGACCGUCUGGGCAACAUUU